UCGAGUGUAUAACAAAAGAGA
RNAcentral lists this non-coding RNA (21 nucleotides) under Caenorhabditis elegans. Lineage: Eukaryota; Metazoa; Nematoda; Chromadorea; Rhabditida; Rhabditidae. The record is from RNAcentral.